RNAcentral lists this ribosomal RNA (460 nucleotides) under uncultured bacterium. Its description in RNAcentral is "partial 16S ribosomal RNA". It matches the Rfam family "Bacterial small subunit ribosomal RNA", at positions 338 to 795 of the family's 1533-position model. The record is from RNAcentral.
CCUACGGGUGGCAGCAGUGAGGAAUAUUGGUCAAUGGACGAGAGUCUGAACCAGCCAAGUCGCGUGAAGGAAGAAGGAUCUAUGGUUUGUAAACUUCUUUUAUAGGGGAAUAAAGGUAUCCACGUGUGGAUAUUUGCAUGUACCCUAUGAAUCACCAUCGGUUAAUGCCGUGCAAGCAGCCGCGUUAAUACGGAGGAUGCGAGCGUUAUCCGGAUUUAUUGGGUUUAAUGGGUGCGUAGGUUGUUUUUUAAGUCAGAGGUGAAAGUUUGUGGCUCAACCAUAAAAUUGCCGUUGAAACUGGAAGACUUGAGUGUGUUUGAGGUAGGCGGAAUGCGUGGUGUAGCGGUGAAAUGCAUAGAUAUCACGCAGAACUCCGAUUGCGAAGGCAGCUUACUAAGCCAUAACUGACACUGAAGCACGAAAGCGUGGGGAUCAAACAGGAUUAGAUACCCGGGUAGUC